RNAcentral lists this ribosomal RNA (198 nucleotides) under uncultured bacterium. RNAcentral's name for it is "partial 16S ribosomal RNA". It matches the Rfam family "Bacterial small subunit ribosomal RNA", at positions 328 to 539 of the family's 1533-position model. The record is from RNAcentral.
ACGCUCGACACCUACGGGGGGCAGCAGUGGGGAAUAUUGCACAAUGGGGGAAACCCUGAUGCAGCGACGCCGCGUGAAGGAAGAAGUAUUUCGGUAUGUAAACUUCUAUCAGCAGGGAAGAAAAUGACGGUACCUGAGUAAGAAGCACCGGCUAAAUACGUGUCAGCAGCCGCGGUAAUCUGAGCGGGCUGGCAAGGC